Molecule: ribosomal RNA, 462 nt
Filed under: uncultured bacterium
Lineage: Bacteria
Description: partial 16S ribosomal RNA
Rfam family: Bacterial small subunit ribosomal RNA
Source: RNAcentral
AGUGAACGCUGGCGGCGUGCCUAAUACAUGCAAGUCGAACGGAGAUUAAGUAGCUUGCUAUUUAAUCUUAGAGGCGCACGGGUGAGUAAUAUAUAGCUAACUUGCCCAUUACUAAGGGACAACAGUUGGAAACGACUGCUAAUACCUUAUACUCCGUAUCUAUAUAAGUAGAUACGGGAAAGUUUUUCGGUAAUGGAUAGGGCUAUAUCGUGUCAGCUAGUUGGUAAGGUAAUGGCUUACCAAGGCUAUGACGCGUAACUGGUCUGAGAGGAUGAUCAGUCACACUGGAACUGAGACACGGUCCAGACUCCUACGGGAGGCAGCAGUAGGGAAUAUUGCUCAAUGGGGGAAACCCUGAAGCAGCAACGCCGCGUGGAGGAUGACACUUUUCGGAGCGUAAACUCCUUUUCUUGGGAAAGAAUUAUGACGGUACCCAAGGAAUAAGCACCGGCUAACUCCGUG